GCUGUAAUAGUUUAGUGGUAGAACGCUUCCGUGGUAAGGAAGAGAAAGGAGUUCAAUUCUCUUUUAUAGCA
Molecule: transfer RNA, 71 nt
Filed under: Candidatus Hodgkinia cicadicola
Lineage: Bacteria; Pseudomonadati; Pseudomonadota; Alphaproteobacteria; Hyphomicrobiales
Description: tRNA-Thr
Rfam family: tRNA
About the family: Transfer RNA (tRNA) molecules are approximately 80 nucleotides in length.
Source: RNAcentral